This 1332-nucleotide ribosomal RNA is filed under the name metagenome. RNAcentral's name for it is "bacterial LSU rRNA". It matches the Rfam family "Bacterial large subunit ribosomal RNA", at positions 1601 to 2925 of the family's 2925-position model. The record is from RNAcentral.
UGAGGUUCCAGGAAAAGCCACUAAGCUUCAGCUACACACGACCGUACCGCAAACCGACACUGGUGCGCGAGAUGAGUAUUCUAAGGCGCUUGAGAGAACUCGGGAGAAGGAACUCGGCAAAUUGACACCGUAACUUCGGAAGAAGGUGUGCCCUAGUAGUGUGAAGUGAACAACGGAGCAUGAAUGGGUUGCAAAAAAUCGGUGGCUGCGACUGUUUAUUAAAAACACAGCACUCUGCAAACACGAAAGUGGACGUAUAGGGUGUGACGCCUGCCCGGUGCUGGAAGAUUAAAUGAUGGGGUGCAAGCUCUUGAUUGAAGUCCCAGUAAACGGCGGCCGUAACGAUAACGGUCCUAAGGUAGCGAAAUUCCUUGUCGGGUAAGUUCCGACCUGCACGAAUGGCGUAACGAUGGCCACACUGUCUCCUCCCGAGACUCAGCGAAGUUGAAAUGUUUGUGAUGAUGCAAUCUCCCCGCGGAAAGACGGAAAGACCCCAUGAACCUUUACUGUAGCUUUGUAUUGGACUUUGAACAGAUCUGUGUAGGAUAGGUGGGAGGCUUUGAAGCAGGGUCGCUAGAUCUUGUGGAGCCAACGUUGAAAUACCACCCUGGUGUGUUUGAGGUUCUAACCUAGGUCCAUUAUCUGGAUCGGGGACAGUGCAUGGUAGGCAGUUUGACUGGGGCGGUCUCCUCCCAAAGCGUAACGGAGGAGUUCGAAGGUACGCUAGUUACGGUCGGACAUCGUGACGAUAGUGCAAUGGCAUAAGCGUGCUUAACUGCGAGACUGACAAGUCGAGCAGAUGCGAAAGCAGGACAUAGUGAUCCGGUGGUUCUGUAUGGAAGGGCCAUCGCUCAACGGAUAAAAGGUACUCUGGGGAUAACAGGCUGAUACCGCCCAAGAGUUCAUAUCGACGGCGGUGUUUGGCACCUCGAUGUCGGCUCAUCUCAUCCUGGGGCUGUAGCCGGUCCCAAGGGUAUGGCUGUUCGCCAUUUAAAGAGGUACGUGAGCUGGGUUUAAAACGUCGUGAGACAGUUUGGUCCCUAUCUUCCGUGGGCGCUGCAGAUUUGAGGAAGCCUGCUCCUAGUACGAGAGGACCGGAGUGGACGCACCUCUGGUGUAUCGGUUGUCACGCCAGUGGCAUUGCCGAGUAGCUAUGUGCGGAAGAGAUAACCGCUGAAAGCAUCUAAGCGGGAAACUCGUUCCAAGAUGAGAUCUGCCGGGGCCUUGAGCCCCCUAAAGAGUCGUUCAAGACCAGGACGUUGAUAGGUCAGGUGUGGAAGCGCAGUAAUGCGUUAAGCUAACUGAUACUAAUUGCUCGUGCGGCUUGACCCU